Molecule: transfer RNA, 77 nt
Filed under: Burkholderiales bacterium
Lineage: Bacteria; Pseudomonadati; Pseudomonadota; Betaproteobacteria; Burkholderiales
Also listed under: 1 other name
Description: tRNA-Val
Rfam family: tRNA
About the family: Transfer RNA (tRNA) molecules are approximately 80 nucleotides in length.
Source: RNAcentral
GGGCGAGUAGCUCAGUUGGUCAGAGCACCUGCCUUACAAGCAGGGGGUCGGCGGUUCGAGCCCGUCCUCGCCCACCA